GACGAACGCUGGCGGCGUGCUUAACACAUGCCAGUCGAACGGAAAGGCCUUUUCGGAGGUACUCGAGUGGCGAACGGGUGAGUAACACGUGGGUGAUCUGCCCUGCACUCUGGGAUAAGCCUGGGAAACCGGGUCUAAUACCGGAUAGGACCGCACUUUAGUGUGUGUGGUGGAAAGUUUUUUCGGUGUAGGAUGAGCCCGCGGCCUAUCAGCUUGUUGGUGGGGUAAUGGCCUACCAAGGCGGCGACGGGUAGCCGGACUGAGAGGUUGGUCGGCCACAUUGGGACUGAGAUACGGCCCAGACUCCUACGGGAGGCAGCAGUGGGGAAUAUUGCACAAUGGGCGCAAGCCUGAUGCAGCGACGCCGCGUGGGGGAUGACGGCCUUCGGGUUGUAAACUCCUUUCGCCAGGGACGAAGCGUUUUGUGACGGUACCUGGAGAAGAAGCACCGGCUAACUACGUG
RNAcentral lists this ribosomal RNA (463 nucleotides) under uncultured bacterium. RNAcentral describes it as "partial 16S ribosomal RNA". It matches the Rfam family "Bacterial small subunit ribosomal RNA", at positions 28 to 507 of the family's 1533-position model. The record is from RNAcentral.